Molecule: RNA transcript, 1710 nt
Organism: Triticum dicoccoides
Lineage: Eukaryota; Viridiplantae; Streptophyta; Magnoliopsida; Poales; Poaceae
Exons: 4
Source: RefSeq, a predicted model, not a curated record
UGCGUCACUCGUCUUCCCCUGCGUCACUCGUCUCCCCCCGCGUCCUCUUCCCGUCCUCCUCGCCGCCGCCCUCCUGCCCGCCGUCCUCCCAUCCUCCUCCUCGCCUCCACUCCUCAUGGCUCUAGGGAGCUGCACCUUGCCCCCACCUCACCUCACCUUGCCUCGUGCUCCACCUCCAGCACUCGGUGGCUGAAAAAGCUUCAAUUUUUUGACACAUCCGGUGGCGGAAGUGCCAGAUCCUGUGGCGGCGUUGUAGAUCCGGUGGCAGCGAAGCUCGAUCCGGUGGCGUGUCCUGGUGCUCCUCCUCACCGUGCAGGGACGGCGGUGGCGCUAGUGUUGCUGCCGAUCUGUGUUCUACAUUGGCUACAGCCACUGUUAGUUCACUGAGUCUUAUUGCUUCCCGAUGAAUUUCUUCUUCCUCAUCCAGCAACAUCUCGUCUCCUGUUAAAUAAGGAGCAAAUGGUAUGUGCUGGUUACUGCUGCUGCUGGUGUAGCUGUUGCUGCUGGUGGUGAUGUUCAUGGGUGCUGCUGCUAUUUCUGGAGUGCUGCUGCUGCUGCUUCAAACUUUUGGAGUAAACUGCUGCUGCUUCUUCAAACUGUUGGAGUAUAUUGGGUCAUCUAGAUUAACAAACCUCCCUGCAAAUAAAUUUAGCCAUGCCUGCUCCCAUUCGCCUAGUGAUUUAUUCAAUAGCCUUUUGGUAUCUAAAAACAAAAGAAAGAUGAUUAUAUUCUGCAAGUUUCAAAAGAACUUGAUGGACAAACCGUGUCUGAUGGAAAAACAAAUGCGGAAAAGAGGGAGUAGAUGCUCAAUGUGGUUACUUCACGAGUUUGUUAUGUUUUAUUGAAUCGCUUGGGAAUGUCAUGUCCUUCUGGACAUUGACCAUCUGUUUAUCCAUUCUCACAUUCUGGCAUUCUAACUAGUACUGUUAGGACAUGCUUAUCGUUGCAGCAUUUCGAGCUCAUGCAGUACUACUGUUUAUAUCUAAUCAAGAGCUUGUGAUUCAGAGCUCAUGCCAUACCACUUCUUAUCUCUAAUCAAAUGAUUGCUCUGAUGAAAAUUAUCUGACGAUCCAACAUGAACAGGAUGCUGCGAUCGACGGCCUGAACAACAAGACCCACAUGAAGAUCCUGCUCAAGUGGAUGUGGGCGAAGAGGAUCAUCAAGCUCUCCUGCACGCAGCUCGGCAACACCAAGAAAUCCUUUAACUGUGAACUGCAGGUGCUGUGGAGGAGAAGCACCAUGAGCCUAGAGCCUCGGCCCUGGAGUGCAGUGAAUUGCAGGGGCCGUGGGGCAGGGCGAGCAGGAGCUCCACUGACGGCAGGGGUAGAAGGAGCUCCGGCGAGCAGAGCCUGGAGUUCGAGCAGGAGGCAGGCGGGGAGGUGAUCCGGCGAGCAGAGCCUCCAGCUCGAGCGGGACCUUGAGGACGCAUGGGGGCAGGAGCUCCACCGGCGGCAGGGGGAGAAGGAUCUCUGGCAAGCAGAUCCUGGAGUGCAAGCAGAGUCUCGAGCUCGAGCAGCUUCAGGAGGGAGAUUUGAGGGGCGCCAGUAGGAGCUUGAGGGAAGCGAGCAGGAAGAGGAUGUGUCGGCGAGAUCCUGCCCCGGCGAGGUGCUAAGGAUCGUUGAGGUGGAGGGAGCUUGAAGACAAAGUUUGAAAUGUACUAGACUAUAGUGUAAAACUGACAUUAGUGCAAAAAAAUUCUCUCCCGCGUCA